This 423-nucleotide ribosomal RNA is filed under the name uncultured bacterium. Its description in RNAcentral is "bacterial SSU rRNA". It matches the Rfam family "Bacterial small subunit ribosomal RNA", at positions 355 to 771 of the family's 1533-position model. The record is from RNAcentral.
UGGGGAAUUGUUCGCGAUGGGCGCAAGCCUGACGACGCAACGCCGCGUGGAGGAUGAAGGUCUUCGGAUUGUAAACUCCUGUUGCCCGGGACGAAUGGCUUCAACCUAAUACGUUGAGGUGUGACGGUACCGGGUGAGGAAGCCCCGGCUAACUCUGUGCCAGCAGCCGCGGUAAUACAGAGGGGGCAAGCGUUGUUCGGAAUUACUGGGCGUAAAGGGCGCGUAGGCGGCCUGCUAAGUCGAACGUGAAAUCCCUGGGCUCAACCCAGGAACUGCGUCCGAUACUGGUUGGCUUGAAUCCGGGAGAGGGAUGUGGAAUUCCAGGUGUAGCGGUGAAAUGCGUAGAUAUCUGGAGGAACACCGGUGGCGAAGGCGACAUCCUGGACCGGUAUUGACGCUGAGGCGCGAAAGCCAGGGGAGCAA